CGCUGGCGGCGUGCCUAAUACAUGCAAGUAGAACGCUGAGGUUUGGUGUUUACACUAGACUGAUGAGUUGCGAACGGGUGAGUAACGCGUAGGUAACCUGCCUCAUAGCGGGGGAUAACUAUUGGAAACGAUAGCUAAUACCGCAUAAGAGUAAUUAACACAUGUUAGUUAUUUAAAAGGAGCAAUUGCUUCACUGUGAGAUGGACCUGCGUUGUAUUAGCUAGUUGGUGAGGUAAAGGCUCACCAAGGCGACGAUACAUAGCCGACCUGAGAGGGUGAUCGGCCACACUGGGACUGAGACACGGCCCAGACUCCUACGGGAGGCAGCAGUAGGGAAUCUUCGGCAAUGGACGGAAGUCUGACCGAGCAACGCCGCGUGAGUGAAGAAGGUUUUCGGAUCGUAAAGCUCUGUUGUUAGAGAAGAACGUUGGUAGGAGUGGAAAAUCUACCAAGUGACGGUAACUAACCAGAAAGGGACGGCUAACUACGUGCCAGCAGCCGCGGUAAUACGUAGGUCCCGAGCGUUGUCCGGAUUUAUUGGGCGUAAAGCGAGCGCAGGCGGUUCUUUAAGUCUGAAGUUAAAGGCAGUGGCUUAACCAUUGUACGCUUUGGAAACUGGAGGACUUGAGUGCAGAAGGGGAGAGUGGAAUUCCAUGUGUAGCGGUGAAAUGCGUAGAUA
Molecule: ribosomal RNA, 679 nt
Filed under: Streptococcus agalactiae
Lineage: Bacteria; Bacillati; Bacillota; Bacilli; Lactobacillales; Streptococcaceae
Description: bacterial SSU rRNA
Rfam family: Bacterial small subunit ribosomal RNA
Source: RNAcentral